GGAUAAGAGGAUUGUUAAAAGAAAAAAUAAUAAGGCAGCAAAGUUGAUUCAAUGGAGAGCUUCUCCAGCAGAUUGAACUUGAGUCUUUGCUCAUGAAAUUCAAACUAGAUUUCCAGACUUUGCUCCUUGAGGACAAGGAGUCUUUCGAGGGGUGGGUAUUGUUGCGAUACAAUAUGUGAAACGGUGCGUUUGUCAAGUCAAACGAAUGUCCAGCAGCAGUUGAAGAGUUGUUAUGGGUGUCGGGUAUUCUGUUAGUUCAGUAGCAAGUUACAAGGGUAGUUUGUUAUAAAAGAGUUGUAGUUUGUUAGAGAAGAGUUGUUUUGAGGUUGUUAGAUAUGAUCAGAUAUGAAGUUGUAACCAACCAUAUAUAGAUUUAUUCUUGAUUCUUAAUGAAAUCUGACUGAUUGUUGAGUUCAUUCACUUUAUUCUGUUCUUCCUAUUUUCUGUAAGAACAUAAACACCCUUAAAGUAAAAGAA
RNAcentral lists this unclassified non-coding RNA (477 nucleotides) under Hevea brasiliensis (rubber tree). Lineage: Eukaryota; Viridiplantae; Streptophyta; Magnoliopsida; Malpighiales; Euphorbiaceae. The record is from RNAcentral.